This 301-nucleotide ribosomal RNA is filed under the name uncultured bacterium. RNAcentral describes it as "partial 16S ribosomal RNA". It matches the Rfam family "Bacterial small subunit ribosomal RNA", at positions 509 to 807 of the family's 1533-position model. The record is from RNAcentral.
CAGUAGCCGCGGUAAUACGUAGGGCGCAAGCGUUGUCCGGAAUUAUUGGGCGUAAAGAGCUCGUAGGCGGUCUGUCGCGUCUGGUGUGAAAUCCCGAGGCUCAACCUCGGGCUUGCAUCGGGUACGGGCAGACUAGAGUGCGGUAGGGGAGACUGGAAUUCCUGGUGUAGCGGUGGAAUGCGCAGAUAUCAGGAGGAACACCGAUGGCGAAGGCAGGUCUCUGGGCCGCAACUGACGCUGAGGAGCGAAAGCAUGGGGAGCGAACAGGAUUAGAUACCCCUGUAGUCCCUGUCUCUUAUAC